This is a long non-coding RNA of Heterocephalus glaber (naked mole-rat), 712 nucleotides long. The record is from Ensembl. NCBI's taxonomy places the organism in Eukaryota, Metazoa, Chordata, Mammalia, Rodentia, Bathyergidae.
GGCAGCCUGGAGAUUCAGCCAUUCAUCUCCCUUUUGUCCCUUGCUUUUCUGCGGCGGCGCCCGCUCACGUGGUCGCUCCAAUUACAGGUGCCUCCUGCAGCGCUCAAGGACAACAGGGUCUCCAAACUCGUACUCAAACACCUAGCUUUGCAGGCGGUGGCAGGGGAGGGAAGGAGGAGUCGGAAGUGCCCCAUAGAUGGACAGACAGGCUUCCUGACCCAAGCGCCUCCAGGUGAGAAGCCUGGGACCAGAAGAGCAGCUGGUGGGGAGGCAGAGUGCUUCAUGCACAGGCCCCUGCCCUGCUACUACUGGCCGAGAGUCCCGGAGGCUCUGACCUUCCCUCCGUUCCUCCAAGACAUAGGUCAUUUUCAAGCCACUGAAGCUUUGCACAUGCUAGUCUCUCUGGACCAACCAUCUCUUCUCCGCACCUUAACACUCCCACCCUGGCCUCCUAUCCUCACUCUGAAUGGAUGGUGUAUUCGUCUCUGAGCACAGCGAUAACAAAUUACCACCAAUGGAGAAAUGAUUUGCACCCAAGUCUUUGUCUCAUGGUCUGCUUUGGGGAGCAUGAAAGUCAGUAACCAUAUUGCAAGAGUGUAAGUGAGGACAGAUACAAGAAACAAGGACACUGAUAUGGAAGUGGAGGCAUUUUAAAGCAGCCUUGUAAAUAGCUCCACAUCCACCAGCCCUGGCAAGUUAGGAUCAAAACCAG